This 73-nucleotide ribosomal RNA is filed under the name Erysipelotrichaceae bacterium RD49. RNAcentral's name for it is "Bacterial small subunit ribosomal RNA". It matches the Rfam family "Bacterial small subunit ribosomal RNA", at positions 1 to 73 of the family's 1533-position model. The record is from Rfam by way of RNAcentral. Lineage: Bacteria; Bacillati; Bacillota; Erysipelotrichia; Erysipelotrichales; Erysipelotrichaceae.
CAAAUGGAGAGUUUGAUCCUGGCUCAGGAUGAACGCUGGCGGCAUGCCUAAUACAUGCAAGUCGAACGGAACU